Molecule: ribosomal RNA, 779 nt
Filed under: Streptomyces albidoflavus
Lineage: Bacteria; Bacillati; Actinomycetota; Actinomycetes; Kitasatosporales; Streptomycetaceae
Description: partial 23S ribosomal RNA
Rfam family: Bacterial large subunit ribosomal RNA
Source: RNAcentral
ACAGUGGACGCGAGCAUCUGUGGCCAAGUUUUUAAGGGCGCACGGUGGAUGCCUUGGCACCAGGAACCGAUGAAGGACGUGGGAGGCCACGAUAGUCCCCGGGGAGUCGUCAACCAGGCUUUGAUCCGGGGGUUUCCGAAUGGGGAAACCCGGCAGUCGUCAUGGGCUGUCACCCGCUGCUGAACUCAUAGGCAGUGUGGAGGGAACGCGGGGAAGUGAAACAUCUCAGUACCCGCAGGAAGAGAAAACAACCGUGAUUCCGGGAGUAGUGGCGAGCGAAACUGGAUGAGGCCAAACCGUAUGUGUGUGAUACCCGGCAGGGGUUGCGCAUGCGGGGUUGUGGGAUCUCUCUUCCACGGUCUGCCGGCCGUGGGACGAGUCAGAAACCGUUGAUGUAGGCGAAGGACAUGCGAAAGGUCCGGCGUAGAGGGUAAGACCCCCGUAGUCGAAACAUCAGCGGCUCGUUUGAGAGACACCCAAGUAGCACGGGGCCCGAGAAAUCCCGUGUGAAUCUGGCGGGACCACCCGCUAAGCCUAAAUAUUCCCUGGUGACCGAUAGCGGAUAGUACCGUGAGGGAAUGGUGAAAAGUACCGCGGGAGCGGAGUGAAAUAGUACCUGAAACCGUGUGCCUACAAGCCGUGGGAGCGUCGCGCAUCGAGCUUGCUCGGUGCGUCGUGACUGCGUGCCUUUUGAAGAAUGAGCCUGCGAGUUAGCGGUGUGUAGCGAGGUUAACCCGUGUGGGGAAGCCGUAGCGAAAGCGAGUCCGAACAGGGCGUUU